GAUGAACGCUGGCGGCGUGCCUAAUACAUGCAAGUCGAGCGAACAGACGAGGAGCUUGCUCCUCUGACGUUAGCGGCGGACGGGUGAGUAACACGUGGAUAACCUACCUAUAAGACUGGGAUAACUUCGGGAAACCGGAGCUAAUACCGGAUAAUAUAUUGAACCGCAUGGUUCAAUAGUGAAAGACGGUUUUGCUGUCACUUAUAGAUGGAUCCGCGCCGCAUUAGCUAGUUGGUAAGGUACGGCUUACCAAGGCAACGAUGCGUAGCCGACCUGAGAGGGUGAUCGGCCACACUGGAAAUGAGACACGGUCCAGACUCCGACGGGAGGCAGCAGUAGGGAAUCUUCCGCAAUGGGCGAAAGCCUGACGGAGCAACGCCGCGUGAGUGAUGAAGGUCUUCGGAUCGUAAAACUCUGUUAUUAGGGAAGAACAAAUGUGUAAGUAACGAUGCACGUCUGGACGGUACCUAAUCAGAAAGCCACGGCGAACUACGG
RNAcentral lists this ribosomal RNA (495 nucleotides) under uncultured bacterium. Its description in RNAcentral is "partial 16S ribosomal RNA". It matches the Rfam family "Bacterial small subunit ribosomal RNA", at positions 28 to 506 of the family's 1533-position model. The record is from RNAcentral.